RNAcentral lists this ribosomal RNA (380 nucleotides) under uncultured eukaryote. RNAcentral describes it as "partial 18S ribosomal RNA". It matches the Rfam family "Eukaryotic small subunit ribosomal RNA", at positions 592 to 976 of the family's 1831-position model. The record is from RNAcentral.
CAAUAGCGUAUAUUAAAGUUGUUGCGGUUAAAAAGCUCGUAGUUGGAUUUCUGCUGAGGAUGACCGGUCCGCCCUCUGGGCAGGUAUCUGGCUCAGCCUUGGCAUCUUCCUGAAGAACGCAGCUGCACUUGACUGUGUGGUGCGGUAUUUAGGACAUUUACUUUGAGGAAAUUAGAGUGUUUCAAGCAAGCGCACGCCUUGAAUACAUUAGCAUGGAAUAAUAAGAUAGGACCUCGGUUCUAUUUUGUUGGUUUCUAGAACUGAGGUAAUGAUUGAUAGGGAUAGUUGGGGGCAUUCGUAUUUAACUGUCAGUGGUGAAAUUCUUGGAUUUGUUAAAGACGGACUACUGCGAAAGCAUUUGCCAAGGAUGUUUUCAUUGA